Long non-coding RNA from Nanorana parkeri, 263 nucleotides. RefSeq lists it as uncharacterized. Lineage: Eukaryota; Metazoa; Chordata; Amphibia; Anura; Dicroglossidae. The transcript has 3 exons. The record is from RefSeq and is a predicted model, not a curated record.
CUGUAUCCUCACAUACCGCAUUCCCCUCCUUGCAGGUUAUUCACGUCCUGCGCCUUCGAAGUGAUCGCAGAUAACGCCUUCUCAAAACUGAAGCACUUGGAGUAUUUGUUCAUCGAAAACAACACCAUCAAAUCAAUCUCUCGGAAUGCAUUACGUGGACUGCGGUCUCUGAUUCACUUGAGUUUGGCUAAUAAUCAUCUGGAGUCUCUUCCAAGUGAGUUGUUUCGGCCCCUGACGGCCAUAAAACACAUGUAAGUACAAAG